This 492-nucleotide ribosomal RNA is filed under the name uncultured bacterium. RNAcentral's name for it is "partial 16S ribosomal RNA". It matches the Rfam family "Bacterial small subunit ribosomal RNA", at positions 29 to 507 of the family's 1533-position model. The record is from RNAcentral.
AGUGAACGCUGGCGGUAGGCCUAACACAUGCAAGUCGAACGGCAGCACAGUGAGAGCUUGCUCUUACGGGUGGCGAGUGGCGGACGGGUGAGGAAUACAUCGGAAUCUACUUUUUCGUGGGGGAUAACGUAGGGAAACUUACGCUAAUACCGCAUACGACCUACGGGUGAAAGCAGUGGAUCUUCGGACCUUGCGCGAUUGAAUGAGCCGAUGUCGGAUUAGCUAGUUGGCGGGGUAAAGGCCCACCAAGGCGACGAUCCGUAGCUGGUCUGAGAGGAUGAUCAGCCACACUGGAACUGAGACACGGUCCAGACUCCUACGGGAGGCAGCAGUGGGGAAUAUUGGACAAUGGGCGCAAGCCUGAUCCAGCCAUACCGCGUGGGUGAAGAAGGCCUUCGGGUUGUAAAGCCCUUUUGUUGGGAAAGAAAAGCAGCAGGUUAAUACCCCGCUGUUCUGACGGUACCCAAAGAAUAAGCACCGGCUAACUUCGUG